Molecule: ribosomal RNA, 404 nt
Filed under: uncultured bacterium
Lineage: Bacteria
Description: bacterial SSU rRNA
Rfam family: Bacterial small subunit ribosomal RNA
Source: RNAcentral
UGGGGAAUAUUGCACAAUGGAGGAAACUCUGAUGCAGCGACGCCGCGUGAGUGAAGAAGGUCUUCGGAUCGUAAAACUCUGUCCUUGGUGACGAAAAAAAUGACGGUAGCCAAGGAGGAAGCCCCGGCUAACUACGUGCCAGUAGCCGCGGUAAUACGUAGGGGGCGAGCGUUGUCCGGAUUUACUGGGCGUAAAGGGUGAGUAGGCGGUAAUAUGUGUCAGAUGUAAAAGGCUAUGGCUUAACCAUAGUUGGCAUUUGAAACUGUAUUACUUGAGUGCAGGAGAGGUAAGUGGAAUUCCUAGUGUAGCGGUGAAAUGCGUAGAUAUUAGGAGGAACACCAGUGGCGAAGGCGACUUACUGGACUGUAACUGACGCUGAGUCACGAAAGCGUGGGUAGCAAACA